This 875-nucleotide long non-coding RNA is filed under the name Heterocephalus glaber (naked mole-rat). Its description in RNAcentral is "lncRNA (ENSHGLG00000037054.1)". The record is from RNAcentral. Lineage: Eukaryota; Metazoa; Chordata; Mammalia; Rodentia; Bathyergidae.
CUGCUCUGGAAGAAAGACACACCACUGUCACAGAUGUAUGGGGACAGAUUAAGCUCCAGAUGGAAUACUGUCGGUGUCAAUCAGUCACUGUUCUUGCAGCCUGGCCGGCUUUCAUCAAAGUAACCACAGAGGAGGAUUCUGCAACUCACAACCUCUUAAAGCUUUGUAUGGACCGGAGGUGAAGCUCUCCUGUCAUCCUCAGCAUUCCCCUCCAAACGCUUGUUUAUGUCCCACCCCUGCUAAUUCAUACAUAGUAUCUUUUUAUUGUAUUCAUCCUUAAGUGUCUCUUCCAUUUCCAAGUGACUGUUCAAUAUUCCGCAGAAUGUUCCAGCUCUUCAGUGAGCUAUACAUUAUUGUGACAUCAGUUGUCCCAUAAAGUGACAAAAUCUGGAUCAAAUACAGGUCUUAUUGUCAGAAGAGAGGAGAUAAGAUGAAGAAUUGAUCUACAAGUUUCAGCCAGUUUGUUUUAUGUUCCCAUUAUGACACACGUUUGGUUCAUGGCCAGUGACUCUGUGCCUCACUUUCAGACUGAUUGGAUACCACGCAGGCACAGGAAAAGAACAUGUGAAGGAUCCUAUCAGCCUAAAGAAUCACUGUCAGGUGAAGAGUCUAUAAACAUUUCCCAACGUUCAUGGAAAGUUUGAGUCUUCACAAACUAGAGCAGUAUGGAAAAAGAGCUGAAAACAUGGAAUUGUGCAUCCUCUAGGGCAGCAAGGGUUGAACCUUGUGACCCGUGUGCUUAGUCAGGGCCAUUGCUCUGUUUCACUGGGACCAAUGCAGCAAUUUCUGACUUAGCAUUUUAACAUUUUAAAAUUCUUUUCAAUAUUUAUAAAUUGAGAGAUGGCGCAGAAAAUACUGGAAUCUGACCAAAGUGG